AGGUAUCAAAUCCUGAAUUCAUAGGGGUUUGAAGCGAACCCGGGGAACUGAAACAUCUCAGUACCCGGAGGAAAAGACAUCAACCGAGAUUCCGUCAGUAGUGGCGAGCGAACGCGGAUCAGGCCAGUGCUUGUGUUGAGAUUACCGGAACGGUCUGGAAAGGCCGGCAGGAUGGGUGACAGCCCCGUACGGGACGGUCGAUACACAAGACUCGAGUAGGGCGGGACACGUGAAAUCCUGUCUGAACAUGGGGGGACCACCCUCCAAGCCUAAAUACUCCUCGAUGACCGAUAGUGAACCAGUACCGUGAGGGAAAGGCGAAAAGAACCCCUGUGAGGGGAGUGAAAUAGAUCCUGAAACCGCAUGCAUACAAGCAGUGGGAGCCGACUUGUUCGGUGACUGCGUACCUUUUGUAUAAUGGGUCAGCGACUUACAUUCAGUAGCGAGGUUAACCGCAUAGGGGAGCCGUAGAGAAAUCGAGUCUUAAUAGGGCGUUUAGUUGCUGGGUGUAGACCCGAAACCGGG
This 525-nucleotide ribosomal RNA is filed under the name Heterosigma akashiwo. RNAcentral describes it as "partial Bacterial large subunit ribosomal RNA". It matches the Rfam family "Bacterial large subunit ribosomal RNA", at positions 146 to 725 of the family's 2925-position model. The record is from RNAcentral. Lineage: Eukaryota; Raphidophyceae; Chattonellales; Chattonellaceae.